RNAcentral lists this ribosomal RNA (407 nucleotides) under uncultured bacterium. RNAcentral describes it as "bacterial SSU rRNA". It matches the Rfam family "Bacterial small subunit ribosomal RNA", at positions 355 to 774 of the family's 1533-position model. The record is from RNAcentral.
UGGGGAAUAUUGCACAAUGGGCGAAAGCCUGAUGCAGCGACGCCGCGUGAGGGAUGACGGCCUUCGGGUUGUAAACCUCUUUCAGCAGGGACGAAGCGAGAGUGACGGUACCUGCAGAAGAAGCACCGGCCAACUACGUGCCAGCAGCCGCGGUAAUACGUAGGGUGCGAGCGUUGUCCGGAAUUACUGGGCGUAAAGAGCUCGUAGGCGGUUUGUCACGUCGGCUGUGAAAACCCAUCGCUCAACGGUGGGCUUGCAGUCGAUACGGGCUGACUUGAGUACUGCAGGGGAGACUGGAAUUCCUGGUGUAGCGGUGAAAUGCGCAGAUAUCAGGAGGAACACCGGUGGCGAAGGCGGGUCUCUGGGCAGUAACUGACGCUGAGGAGCGAAAGCGUGGGUAGCAAACA